AAGGGAAAAUAGGUGGAAAUUCAAAAAUCAAGUGAAAAAAGGUGGUGAGUCAAUUGUUUCGGGUAAGAGACUGCACCCGAGGGCGGAAGAUAGGAGUAUUUCUACUCCUAAUACUAGGGGGUUCCGUGGACCAGCCUAUUAGAGGGGCACGGUAA
This 155-nucleotide small RNA is filed under the name Theobroma cacao (cacao). Its description in RNAcentral is "sRNA Tc09v2_g017630". Lineage: Eukaryota; Viridiplantae; Streptophyta; Magnoliopsida; Malvales; Malvaceae. The record is from RNAcentral.